This 497-nucleotide ribosomal RNA is filed under the name uncultured bacterium. Its description in RNAcentral is "partial 16S ribosomal RNA". It matches the Rfam family "Bacterial small subunit ribosomal RNA", at positions 28 to 507 of the family's 1533-position model. The record is from RNAcentral.
GAUGAACGCUGGCGGCGUGCCUAAUACAUGCAAGUCGUGCGAACAGACGAGGAGCUUGCUCCUCUGACGUUAGCGGCGGACGGGUGAGUAACACGUGGAUAACCUACCUAUAAGACUGGGAUAACUUCGGGAAACCGGAGCUAAUACCGGAUAAUAUAUUGAACCGCAUGGUUCAAUAGUGAAAGACGGUUUUGCUGUCACUUAUAGAUGGAUCCGCGCCGCAUUAGCUAGUUGGUAAGGUAACGGCUUACCAAGGCAACGAUGCGUAGCCGACCUGAGAGGGUGAUCGGCCACACUGGAACUGAGACACGGUCCAGACUCCUACGGGAGGCAGCAGUAGGGAAUCUUCCGCAAUGGGCGAAAGCCUGGCGGAGCAACGCCGCGUGAGUGAUGAAGGUCUUCGGAUCGUAAAACUCUGUUAUUAGGGAAGAACAAAUGUGUAAGUAACUAUGCACGUCUUGACGGUACCUAAUCAGAAAGCCACGGCUAACUACGUG